GGGGAAUCUUGCGCAAUGGACGAAAGUCUGACGCAGCCACGCCGCGUGAGUGAAGAAGGCCUUCGGGUUGUAAAGCUCUGUCGAGCGGGACGAACAUACAUACAGUUAAGAGCUGGGUGGACUGACGGUACCGCUAAAGGAAGCACCGGCUAACUUCGUGCCAGCAGCCGCGGUAAUACGAGGGGUGCAAGCGUUGCUCGGAAUUAUUGGGCGUAAAGGGCAAGUAGGUGGUCUCAUUUGUCUACAGGUGAAAGCCUUGAGCUUAACUCAAGAAGUGCCUUAGAAACGGUGAGACUCGAGUACUGGAGAGGGUCGUGGAAUUCCCGGUGUAGCGGUGAAAUGCGUAGAGAUCGGGAGGAACACCAGAGGCGAAGGCGGCGACCUGGACAGUUACUGACACUCAACUGCGAAAGUGUGGGGAGCAAAC
Molecule: ribosomal RNA, 427 nt
Filed under: uncultured bacterium
Lineage: Bacteria
Description: bacterial SSU rRNA
Rfam family: Bacterial small subunit ribosomal RNA
Source: RNAcentral